UCCCUGUUGCCAGGGCAGUUUGAGUAGAAAAAUUCAACUACUCACAAGGGUUGCGCUCGUUGAAGGACUUAACCUAACAUCUCACGACACGAGCUGACGACGGCCAUGCAUCAUCUGUCACCGAGUUCAAAUUGCACUCCCUCCUUUCGGAAGGAUUCUCGGGAUGUCAAGCCUGGGUAAGGUUCUUCGCUUACCAUCGAAUUAAACAACACGCUCCACCGCUUGUGCGGGUCCCCGUCAAUUCCUUUAUGUUUUAAGCUUGCGCUCGUACUCCACAGGCGGGAUGCUUAACGCGUUAGCUUCGCUACUACGGGGGUCGAUACCCAUAACAGCUAGCAUCCAUAGUUUACGGCGUGGACUAC
RNAcentral lists this unclassified non-coding RNA (362 nucleotides) under uncultured bacterium. RNAcentral's name for it is "contains 16S-23S intergenic spacer region". The record is from RNAcentral.